AUACUUACCUGACAGGAAGUUACCACAAUAACGAGGGUGCUUCCCCCGGGACCGGGUUUAUCCACUGCAGCCUGGAUAUGCUGACUCUUGCAGUCUCCCCACAUGUGGGAAACUUGACUGGAUAAUUUGUGUUAGUGAGGGAUUGUGUUCACAAUUUCCCCUG
Trichechus manatus latirostris (Florida manatee) is the source of this 163-nucleotide small nuclear RNA. RefSeq annotates it as U1 spliceosomal RNA. The transcript has a single exon. Lineage: Eukaryota; Metazoa; Chordata; Mammalia; Sirenia; Trichechidae. The record is from RefSeq and is a predicted model, not a curated record.